RNAcentral lists this ribosomal RNA (484 nucleotides) under uncultured bacterium. RNAcentral describes it as "partial 16S ribosomal RNA". It matches the Rfam family "Bacterial small subunit ribosomal RNA", at positions 30 to 507 of the family's 1533-position model. The record is from RNAcentral.
AUUGAACGCUGGCGGCAGGCCUAACACAUGCAAGUCGAGCGGAUGAAGGGAGCUUGCUCCUGGAUUCAGCGGCGGACGGGUGAGUAAUGCCUAGGAAUCUGCCUGGUAGUGGGGGAUAACGUCCGGAAACGGGCGCUAAUACCGCAUACGUCCUGAGGGAGAAAGUGGUGGAUCUUCGGACCUCACGCUAUCAGAUGAGCCUAGGUCGGAUUAGCUAGUUGGUGGGGUAAAGGCCUACCAAGGCGACGAUCCGUAGCUGGUCUGAGAGGAUGAUCAGUCACACUGGAACUGAGACACGGUCCAGACUCCUACGGGAGGCAGCAGUGGGGAAUAUUGGACAAUGGGCGAAAGCCUGAUCCAGCCAUGCCGCGUGUGUGAAGAAGGUCUUCGGAUUGUAAAGCACUUUAAGUUGGGAGGAAGGGCAGUAAGUUAAUACCUUGCUGUUUUGACGUUACCAACAGAAUAAGCACCGGCUAACUUCGUG